Molecule: ribosomal RNA, 828 nt
Filed under: uncultured Actinomycetes bacterium
Lineage: Bacteria; Bacillati; Actinomycetota; Actinomycetes
Description: bacterial SSU rRNA
Rfam family: Bacterial small subunit ribosomal RNA
Source: RNAcentral
GUGUAGCGGUGGAAUGCGCAGAUAUCAGGAGGAACACCAAUGGCGAAGGCAGGUCUCUGGGCCAUUACUGACACUGAGGAGCGAAAGCGUGGGGAGCGAACAGGAUUAGAUACCGUGGUAGUACACGCCGUAAACGGUGCGCACUAGUUGUGGGAACCUUCCACGGUUUCUGCGACGCAGCUAACGCAUUAAGUGCCCCGCCUGGGGAGUACGAUCGCAAGAUUAAAACUCAAAGGAAUUGACGGGGCUCCGCACAAGCAGCGGAGCAUGCGGCUUAAUUCGACGCAACGCGAAGAACCUUACCAAGGCUUGACAUAUACAGGAAUAUGGCAGAAAUGUCAUAGCCGCAAGGUCUGUAUACAGGUGGUGCAUGGUUGUCGUCAGCUCGUGUCGUGAGAUGUUGGGUUAAGUCCCGCAACGAGCGCAACCCUCGUUCUGUGUUGCCAGCAUUUAGUUGGGGACUCACAGGAGACUGCCGGGGUUAACUCGGAGGAAGGUGGGGAUGACGUCAAAUCAUCAUGCCCCUUAUGUCUUGGGCUGCACGCAUGCUACAAUGGCUGGUACAAACGGCUGCGAUACCGCAAGGUGGAGCGAAUCCGAUAAAGCCAGUCUCAGUUCGGAUUGGGGUCUGCAACUCGACCCCAUGAAGUCGGAGUUGCUAGUAAUCGUAGAUCAGCAACGCUACGGUGAAUACGUUCCCGGGGCUUGUACACACCGCCCGUCACGUCACGAAAGUCGGUAACACCCGAAGUCAGUGGCCCAACCGUAAGGGGGGAGCUGCCGAAGGUGGGAUCGGUGAUUGGGACGAAGUCGUAACAAGGUAACCGU